AGAUGGCGUCUGCGACAUAUUUGGGAUGUAGUGUUUUUCAUGUUUGUUUUAAUAAAAAAGUAUAUAAGAAUUAGCCCCUUCCGCAUUUACAUCAUAUUUAGGAACACACUGUAUUCCCAGGGCAUUGGAUUAAGUGCGGUACCAACCCCCGUAAGUUCUAAAAAAAAAAACUGAAAGUCGUAAUACACCAGCGGUCCCUAAACGGUUCUAACUUUUGCAUGCUGAAGUUACAUUGGUUUUUUUUUUAAGUAUAUAAAGCAAGAAAAAGGCCGAAGGAACUCGAAAGAUGUGCAAGAGGCGCCGGGUACCCUUAACAAUAAACUGGAGGAGUGCACUGUCGCUAUACAAAUAGUUACAGGUUCGUGGGAACUAAUAAUGGAUAAAGGGUCCAAAGAGAAACCGUUAAUGGAAGGAAGCUCGUGUUCUACGACUCUCUUGUAAGGAACACAUAUCGACAAGUUGAUGCUCCUUCGUAAUGGAAAUUGUGUCGUGUUCAAUCGUGAUAUAUCUAACACGAUAAGUUAAAUAUGUAAUCUCCAUUGAAUGAGGGAUUUGCAUAUUUACAAGACGCUAAUACAUGUACCUAUGUAGAAACACGAGUACGUGAGACAUUGUUAGACACGUAUCUCGUUCUGUUUGAUGGGUGCACCGUAGUAUGUAAACGAAAACGUGUCAUUCGCUAACAAAGUUACACAAAGAUUGUAAAAAAAGUUUGUAUCCUGAUAAUAAAACGAUUGUCCUCUUUUGUUA
Photinus pyralis (common eastern firefly) is the source of this 750-nucleotide long non-coding RNA. RefSeq lists it as uncharacterized. The record is from RefSeq and is a predicted model, not a curated record. The transcript is spliced from 3 exons. NCBI's taxonomy places the organism in Eukaryota, Metazoa, Arthropoda, Insecta, Coleoptera, Lampyridae.